This 454-nucleotide long non-coding RNA is filed under the name Equus caballus (horse). Its description in RNAcentral is "lncRNA (ENSECAG00000057266.1)". The record is from RNAcentral. Lineage: Eukaryota; Metazoa; Chordata; Mammalia; Perissodactyla; Equidae.
GGUAACUUGGUGGCCCAUGGUCAAAUAUUCAGUCUCUGGUAGGCCCCGUAGCAGGCCAAGUGAUGUUUCUCAAAAGUAGAUUAGACAUCUGCAGGUGAUAACAAGACCAUGCUCUAACAUCUUAAAACCCUGUCCUCUGCUUUCCAUAUUGGGACUGCCAAAGGCCCCAAAGAAAAUUUCUAUCUGCCUAUGAAACAUCUAAAAGAUUGAGUCCACCACAAUAUAUGGCCCAAGUGGCAGAGCAGCUUGCACAGCUGUCUGGAAUUGUUGCGGUGCCUUCUCUCAUUCUCUACAGACAAGAAUGCUCCAUCAUGGUAAUACUUGAAUAUCUUUGAAACCAUGCCUCUGGACUGAGUAAUUACUUCCAGAAAUGCUUGAAGCACUGCAUACAGAGGAGGUAUCCAUAUUCAGAGGAAGUGUGUAUCCCAGUAUGGACAAAAAACCACCCCUUCCA